GGGCAUCACGGUCCUACCGACAUGUGAUGUCAUGCCCAGAGGCCCAGCUGUAAAAUUCCUCUCUUUAUACUGCUGCCUUUAUUUCUCAGCCGGCCAACACUUACGGAAAAUAGAACCUACAUUGAAAUUCCUGUUUCCACUCUGGCUGGUGAGUCAAUUGCUCAAUUACUUUUACUACCUAAUAUUGUUUUAAACAAAGGAGAUAAGACACGGGGUCCUAGGAUGGGCUCUGACAGUGAAAAAGCCACUUAUUGGAUUAAUGUAAUUUCUGAACAACAGCCCACCUGCACCAUACACAUUCAAGGAAAAAAGUUUAAGGGCCUACUAGAUACUGGGUCUGAUGUUUCUAUUAUUUCCUCUAAUUUAUGGCCUUCCUCCUGGCGUAAACAUCCCACUAACAUAUAACUAGCAGGGAUUGGAAAAGCUGAUGAAGUUCACCAGAGCACAUUUAUCUUGCCUUGCACUGGCCCUGAGGGUCAAAAGGGUAAAAUUCAGCCUUAUAUCAUGCCAAUCUCCACUAAUAUUUGGGGUAGAGAUUUGCUGACACAGUGGGGGGCUGAAAUUAAUAUUCCACAUAACUCUUACAGUGCUCCCAGUCAAAAUAUAAUGGAAAACAUGGGGUUUGUUCCCGGACUCGGUCUCGGUCCAAGACAUGAAGGAAUUACUAAACCUCUUCAAGUUACUGUAGAAGAGGGCUGGUUUAGGUCAUCCUUUUCAAUGACAGCCACUGCUAUGCCUCCCUACAAUGAAAAUCUGAAACACCUGUUUGGAUUGAGCAGCGGCCGCUCUCUCAAGAAAAACUGGAGGCUUUAACUCAAUUGGUUGCUAAACAGUUACAACUUGGAAAUGUGGAACCUUCUCUCUCCCCCUGGAAGUCUCCUGUGUUUCUAGUAAAAAAGAAAUCAGGCAAGUGGAGGAUGGUAACUGAUUUAAGGGCCAUUAAUGCUGUAAUUAAACCUAUGGGAGCUGUCCAACCCAGGAUGCCUGCCCCUGCUUUAAUACCUAAGAAUUGGCCUCUCAUAGUUACUGAUCUUAAAGACUAUUUCUUUCAUAUUGCUUUACAUAAAUCGAAUUGUGAAAAAUUUGCUUUUACUGUACCAUCUAUCAAUAAUCAGGAGCCUGCAGCUCGUUAUCAAUGGAAAGUACUUCCUCAGGGAGUGCUGAAUAGCCCUACCAUCUGCCAGCUUUAUGUUGGACAGGUGCUUUCACUACUUUGAGCUCAAUUUCCCCAGGCCUAUAUUCUUCAUUAUAUUGAUGAUAUAUUAAUCGCUGCCCCCACUGAUAAAGAAUUGACUGUUAACAAUUUUUGAGCCAUUGUGUUAAAGAGGCUGGAUUACACAUCGCUCAGGAUAAAAUUCAACAGACCACUCCUGUUCAAUAUUUAGGAAUGGUGUUCAAUAAAGAAUAUAUUCAACCUCAAAAGGUUCAGAUUAGGAGAGAUUCUUUGAAAACCUUAAAUGAUUCCAAAAACUUUUAGAUAACAUUAAUUAAGACCUACUUUAGGCAUUUCAACAUACGCGCCAUCUAACUUGUUUUCUAUGCUGUGUGGAGAUUCCAAUCUCUGCAGUCCCAGGACUUUCACCCCUGAGGCUUCACUAGAACUGGAAUUCAUGGAGUAAAGAAUCCAAACUGCCCAGUUGUCUAGGGUACAGCCGUCUCAGCCUUUUCAGCUUCUGGUUUUCGCUUCAUUGCACUCCCCUACUGGGCUAAUAGUUCAACAUAAUGACUUAGUGGAGUGGUGUUUUCUUCCUCAUUCUGUGUCAAAAACUUUGUCUGUUUAUCUGGACCAAAUGGCCACCCUAAUUGGACAAGCUCGGUGUAGAAUACUUAAAUUUUCCAGAUUUGAUCCGAAUUUAAUUGUGGUUCCUUUAAAUCAACUCGAAGUUCAGGCCACUUUUCAACAUUCCAUACUGUGGCAAAUUCACUUGGCUGAUUUUAUCAGUGUUGUUGACAAUCAUUAUCCAAAAAAAAAAAAACUGUUUGAUUUUAUAAAAAUGACUUCUUGGGUGGUCACUUGAUUGACCAAAGAUCAGCCCAUUCCUGAGGCCAUUACAGUGUUCACUGAUGGCUCCAGUAACAGAAAUGCUGGUUAUGUGGGUCCUACAGACAAGCUUAUUUCUAACCCUUAUACCUCUGCUCAAAAGGUAGAGUUAAUUGCUGUAAUUAUUGCCUUACAGGAUUUCCCCAAACCUUUAAAUAUUGUCUCUGAUUCUGCUUAUGUUGUACAUGCCACUAAAAAUAUAGAAACCGCUACUAUCAAACAUAUUGGUAAUUCUGAAUUGGCUUCUUUAUUUUCAAGGUUACAACAGGCGGUUCGCCAACGUAGACACCCUUUCUAUAUUACACAUAUUAGAUCUCAUACCACUCUACUGGGACCCAUGUCUGCUGGUAACGAUAAGGUCGACUGGUCUCUAUUGCAAUCCGAGAAGCUCAGGAGUUCCAUAAUCUCACUCAUGUCAAUGCUGCUGGAUUAAAAGAUAAAUUUGCUCUCACCUGGAAGGAGGCUAAGCUUAUUGUCCACCACUGCCCUCAGUGCCAAGUUUUUGUACUUCCAAAUCAGGAACCUGGCAUUAAUCCCAGAGACCUAACUCCUAAUGAUUUAUGGCAAAUGGAUGUGACUCAUGUUAGCUCCUUUGGCAGAAUUUCACAUGUACAUGUUUCUGUAGACACCUUUUCAGGUUUUAUUUGGGCUACUUGCCAAACGGGAAGGCACAGCCAAUAUUAAAAGACAUCUGUAUUCUUGCUUUGCAGUUAUGGGGCUUCCAUAUCAAAUAAAGACAGACAAUGCCCCUGGAUAUGUUAGUAAGGCUUUUGAUUUAUUUAUGCAACAAUGGGGAAUUUCCCGUAUUACCAGAGUAACUUACAAUCCUCAGGGACAAGCUGUGGCGGAACAGGCCAAUUGCACUUUAAAAACUCAAUUGUCCAAACAGUCUGAGCAACAAAAGCAUAAUUUAACCACUCCCCACUCCCAGUUACAUUUAGCAUUGUUUACUUUAAACUUUCUAAAUGUUCCUAAAGACAUACUCUGACUGCAGCUGAACAGGCAAAAAAUUCUCCCUAAAUGAAGGCAAGCCAGUGUUAGGGAAAAACUCCCAGACCAAUACCUGGGAAGCUGGAACAAUUACAACGUGGGGAAGAGGGUAUGCUUGUGUUUCACCAGGAGAUCAUCAAUCCCCUGUCUGGGUGCCCACUAGGAGACUUAAACUUCGUGUGAAUACUGACAAUAAAAACCAUAGGGAAGAGACGUCUGCGUCAGAGACCACCUUCAUACCUGGAAAAGUAUAAUGUUGGUUCGAGAUCAAGAAGGAAUCUGGAUACCAUGUGCCAGACCAGUCAAAGAAUCCUGUGUCAAAACUGGGAGAACGAACAAGCCUUCAUCGCCAUGGCACAUUUAUAUAAAAAGAAAGGGAGAGAUGUUGCGGGAAGUCAGGGACCCCAAACGGAGGGACCGGCUGGAGCUGCGGCAGAGGAACAUAAAUUGUGAAGAUUUCAUUUUAAUAUGGACAUUUAUCAGUUCCCAAAUAAUACUUUUAUAAUUUUUUAUGCCUGUCUUUAAUCUCUUAAUCCUGUUAUCUUUGUAAGCUGAGGAUGUACGUCACCUCAGGACCACUGUGAUAAUUGUGUUAACUGUACAAAUUGAUUGUAAAACAUGUGUGUUUGAACAAUAUGAAAUCAGUGCACCUUGAAAAAGAACAGAAUAACAGCGAUUUUUAGGGAACAAGGGAAGACAACCAUAAGGUCUGACUGCCUGCGGGGUCAGGCAGAAUACAGCCAUAUUUUUCUUCUUGCAGAGAGCCUAUAAAUGGAUGUGCAAAUAGGAGAGGUAUCGCUAAAUUAUUUUCCUAGCAAGGAAUAUUACAUAUUAAGACCCUAGGAAAAGAAUUGCAUUCCUAGGGGGAGGUCUAUAAACGGCCGCUCUGGGAAUGUCUGUCUUAUGCGGUUGAGAUAAGGACUGAGAUACGCCCUGGUCUCCUACAGUACCCUCAGGCUUACUAGAGUGGGAAAAAACUCCGCCCUGGUAAAUUUGUGGUCAGACCAGUUCUCUGCUCUCAAACCCUGUUUUCUGUUGUUUAAGAUGUUUAUCAAGAUAAUACGUGCACCGCUAAACAUAGAACCUUAUCAGUAGUUCUGCUUUUGCCCUUUGCCUUGUGAUCUUUGUUGGACCCUUAUCUGUUGUGGGAAGUCAGGCACCCCGAACAGAGGGACCAGCUGGAGCCGUGGCAGAGGAACAUAAAUUAUGAAGAUUUCGUGGACAUAUAUCAGUUCCUAAAAUUAAUACUUUUAUAAUUUCUUAAGCCUGUCUUUACUGCAAUCUCUGAACAUAAACUGUGAAGAUUUCAUGGACAUUUAUCACUUCCCUAAUAAUACUCUCAUAAUUUCUUAUGCCUGUCUUACUUUAAUCUUUUAAUCCCGUUAUCUUCGUAAGCUGAGGAUGUACAUCACCUCGGGACCCUGUGAUGAUUGCGUUAACUGUACAAACUGAUUGUAAAACAUGUGUGUUUGAACAAUAUGAAAUCAGUGCACCUUAAAAAAGAACAGAAUAACAGCGAUUUUAGGGAACAAUGCAAGACAACCAUAAGGUCUGACUGCCUGCGGGGUCAGGCAGAAUACAGCCAUAUUUUUCUUCUUGCAGAGAGCCUAUAAAUGGACGUGCCAAGUAGGAGAGAUACCACUAAAUUCUUUUCCUAGCAAGUAAUAUUAAAUAUUAAGACCCUAGGAAAAGAAAUGCAUUCCUAGGGGGAGGUCUAUAAACGGCCGCUCUGGGAGUGUCUGUCCUAUGCGGUUGAGAAAAGGACUGAGAUACACUCUGGUCUCCUGCAGUACCCUCAGGCUUACUAGGAUUGGGAAACACCAGCCCUGGUAAAUUUCAGGUCAGACUGGUUCUCUGCUCUCGAACCCUGUUUUCUGUUAAGAUGUUUAUCAAGAUAAUACGUGCACUGCUGAACACAGACCCUUAUCAGGAGUUUCUGAUUUUGCCUUGUCCUGUUUCCUCAGAAGCAUGUGAUCUUUGCUCUGCUUUUUUGCCCCUUAAAGCAUGUAAUCUUUUCCCUGUUCAUACACUCCCUCCCCUUUUGAAAUCCCUAAUAAAAACUUGUUGGUUUUGAGGCUCA
Homo sapiens (human) is the source of this 5111-nucleotide long non-coding RNA. RefSeq lists it as uncharacterized. The transcript has 2 exons. NCBI's taxonomy places the organism in Eukaryota, Metazoa, Chordata, Mammalia, Primates, Hominidae. The record is from RefSeq and is a predicted model, not a curated record.